This 643-nucleotide ribosomal RNA is filed under the name uncultured bacterium. RNAcentral's name for it is "bacterial SSU rRNA". It matches the Rfam family "Bacterial small subunit ribosomal RNA", at positions 245 to 885 of the family's 1533-position model. The record is from RNAcentral.
CUUGUUGGUGGGGUGAUGGCCUACCAAGGCGUCGACGGGUAGCCGGCCUGAGAGGGUGACCGGCCACACUGGGACUGAGAUACGGCCCAGACUCCUACGGGAGGCAGCAGUGGGGGAUAUUGCACAAUGGGCGCAAGCCUGAUGCAGCGACGCCGCGUGAGGGAUGACGGCUUUCGGGUUGUAAACCUCUUUCGCUACCGAACAAGGCUCCAUUUUUGUGGGGUUGAGGGUAGGUGGAUAAGAAGCGCCGGCUAACUACGUGCCAGCAGCCGCGGUAAUACGUAGGGCGCGAGCGUUGUCCGGAAUUAUUGGGCGUAAAGAGCUCGUAGGCGGCUUGUCGCGUCUGCUGUGAAAACGCGGGGCUUAACUCCGCGCGUGCAGUGGGUACGGGCAGGCUAGAGUGUGGUAGGGGUGAUUGGAAUUCCUGGUGUAGCGGUGGAAUGCGCAGAUAUCAGGAGGAACACCGAUGGCGAAGGCAGGUCACUGGGCCAUUACUGACGCUGAGGAGCGAAAGCAUGGGGAGCGAACAGGAUUAGAUACCCUGGUAGUCCAUGCCGUAAACGUUGGGCACUAGGUGUGGGGCCUGUUUCCACGGGUUCUGCGCCGUAGCUAACGCAUUAAGUGCCCCGCCUGGGGAGUACGG